GCAUAACGCGAAGAACCUUACCUAAGCUUGACAUCCUUUUGACCGAUGCCUAAUCGCAUCUUUCCCUUUGGGGACAGAAGUGACAGGUGGUGCAUGGCUGUCGUCAGCUCGUGUCGUGAGAUGUUGGGUUAAGUCCCGCAACGAGCGCAACCCUUGCCUUUAGUUGCCAGCAUUAAGUUGGGCACUCUAGAGGGACUGCCAGGGAUAACCUGGAGGAAGGUGGGGAUGACGUCAAAUCAUCAUGCCCCUUAUGCUUAGGGCUACAUACGUGCUACAAUGGGUGGUACAGAGGGCAGCCAAGUCGUGAGGCGGAGCUAAUCCCUUAAAGCCAUUCUCAGUUCGGAUUGUAGGCUGAAACUCGCCUACAUGAAGCUGGAGUUACUAGUAAUCGCAGAUCAGAAUGCUGCGGUGAAUGCGUUCCCGGGUCUUGUACACACCG
RNAcentral lists this ribosomal RNA (439 nucleotides) under uncultured bacterium. Its description in RNAcentral is "bacterial SSU rRNA". It matches the Rfam family "Bacterial small subunit ribosomal RNA", at positions 954 to 1392 of the family's 1533-position model. The record is from RNAcentral.